Molecule: ribosomal RNA, 492 nt
Filed under: uncultured bacterium
Lineage: Bacteria
Description: partial 16S ribosomal RNA
Rfam family: Bacterial small subunit ribosomal RNA
Source: RNAcentral
AGUGAACGCUGGCGGUAGGCCUAACACAUGCAAGUCGAACGGCAGCACAGUAAGAGCUUGCUCUUACGGGUGGCGAGUGGCGGACGGGUGAGGAAUACAUCGGCAUCUACUUUUUCGUGGGGGAUAACGUAGGGAAACUUACGCUAAUACCGCAUACGACCUACGGGUGAAAGCAGGGGAUCUUCGGACCUUGCGCGAUUGAAUUAGCCGAUGUCGGAUUAGCUAGUUGGCGGGGUAAAGGCCCACCAAGGCGACGAUCCGUAGCUGGUCUGAGAGGAUGAUCAGCCACACUGGAACUGAGACACGGUCCAGACUCCUACGGGAGGCAGCAGUGGGGAAUAUUGGACAAUGGGCGAAAGCCUGAUCCAGCCAUACCGCGUGGGUGAAGAAGGCCUUCGGGUUGUAAAGCCCUUUUGUUGGGAAAGAAAAGCAGCAGGUUAAUACCCCGCUGUUCUGACGGUACCCAAAGAAUAAGCACCGGCUAACUUCGUG